This is a non-coding RNA of Manis javanica (Malayan pangolin), 8129 nucleotides long. Lineage: Eukaryota; Metazoa; Chordata; Mammalia; Pholidota; Manidae. The record is from RefSeq and is a predicted model, not a curated record.
GCAGAAUAAUUAACUUAAUUAACAAAUUCACAUGCAUAUUCAUCAGGCUAUUAAUGUCUUCUCGGCUCAGCUUGAUGAACAUUGCGGUAAUAACCAUCUCAUUUACAUACUGCAUUCUACUGCGAUCCAAAACAGAGACAACAUACAGGCGUAUACACACACACACACGCACACACGCACACACACUCGUGCAUGGAUACACACAACAUGCCUGUGCUGCUUUGACUUCCAGGUUGGCUGGGAGUGUGUGUGUGUGUGUGUGUGUGUGUGUGUGGUGUGUGUGUGUGAUGUGUGUGUGUGGUACCAGGUGGGUGGGAACCCCCAACUGGGUGAUGUGAUCUUUAGAGGGUCAUGAGUGAGAUGGGCUAGGGAUGCCCACAUUAGAAUGUCUGGGAGAACUUUCAUUCUCUUUCUCUCUCUCUCUCUCCUUGUCUCACUCUGCCUCUUUUUCCUUAUUUCCUUUUCUCUGUGUCAUUUCUUCUCUGCCCCCCACCCCCCCAAACAUGUCUCUCUAGGGAAAAACUUGGUAUCCGUGCCAACUUUUUCUCCCUCCCCUCCUCCCUCAUCUCUCCUCCUUCCCCUCUCCCAACUGCUGCCAGCCGGCAUCAGCGCCGAAUUGCCAUCUCCUUGAGCUCUCUGUGGAGCAAUCUCAGAGAGCAGUAAGGUGUGACGCGGGGCUCUGCCGGCUUCGCAGCACCGCCUGCGGAAAAAGCGCAGGAUGGCGGAGGAAGAUUAAGAGAAAUCUCGAGCAGGGCUCGGCUGCCAUUGGUGUGUGCAAACGCCGAGGAGGAAGGGAGAGGGAGAGCGAGGAGGGGGGCCAGAAAGCGGGGGGACCAGCAGCUGUCGGCCUAAUUCUUCUAACACUCUGCUUGUGGUCAUAUUAGAAAAACAGAUUAUGCCCCUUGGUGCCACUCACUUAUACUUGACAUACGUUAAUGUUCUCUGUCUCCCGUUCUCCGGUCUUAGCAACAGUGGACUUAAGGUAGAGAAAGAUGGGGGCCUGAGUGUCCUGGGGCCCAAAAGACCCUGCCCUUUCAUUCUCUCCUGACUUCCAACCCCAGACUGUUCUUGCCCUUUAGAGAGCAAGCCUGGGCCCAGAAUUUGCAUCUAAUGCCACCAUUUGCUCCUGCUUUUUGAGCUGCAGAGGUUCAGAGGAAGCCCUUCGGCCUAGAAGUCACUCCCUACUCAGAGUCUUAAUAGGUCACUUUGGGGCCAAAUGAGACCAGCUCUGUAGCACCUUCACUCCUAACCUUUCAAUGGGCCCUCCCCCUCAAAUCAGAAGCUGGGUUCAGAGAAAAGGGUCCAUAAUAGUGCUCCAUGAGGAAGUUACAGAGAAGCCAUAAGCCAUACAAGGCCAGGAUUGUUUCUGGGUAGCUAUGGAAACCAGGUUCCCUCCUCCUGGCAGGAAGCAAGCAGUGCUUCCGCCUUGCACCAAUCCUGAAGGCUGUAAAGGCUAGUUUGCUUAAGUCUGGGGAAUAGGGCUGUUUUUGGAGGACCAACCAACCAUUCCCCAUAGCCCUGCCUGCAGGUUCAUAGCCCUUUGACCCCCACCUUCCCUACCCUCACUCCAGUAUUCAGUCGAAGGCGGCUUUUUCCUUUCGGUGCCUUGUCCUCUGUGGAAACCUGUUGCUUAGCAACCACUAGUGCCUUCUUCCUAAUAACUUGCAGGGACUGAGAGAUAAAAUAUCUGUCUCUAUUCAGUUCCCCUUCCCUGCCUAUUUUAUUUAAUAACUCAAGCACUGUCUUGUGUUCCAUUGACACCUGUUUUAGAGGGAUUAAGCUGCAGCCUGAAGACAUAAAGUUACACCUGAGGAAGAACUUCUGAACAGGGAAGAGUGGGAGGACAGGAGUAAGUAGGGGAGCCAUGGAAUCAUAUUCUCUUAAGUAUAGGCAGAAAAGAAAAAAAUGUCUUUAAAAUUUGGAAUGUGGGGAGGGGACAUCCACAGGGAUUCCAUAGGUCCACUUGGGACCUGAAUGGACGUAACAAGGCUGCUUCCUGAGCUGGCAUUUUCCACUCCCACAUCUGGCCAUGCCCCUCCUUCCUAACCACUUCCUGUCUAGAGCCCUCUGAUAGGUUUAUAUGUGGGAGGCCCAUCCCUUGGGAUAUCCAGUUUCCUAGUGUCUAGAUUUUGGUAUCCAGGGGGAUGCACUUUGUCAAUGUAUGUCCGACAAGGCCUGGGUAUCUCCCAGAGUUUUGUAGUCACUGGGAAGGAUUUCUGAACUCUCUACUAGAAAACUCCAGAUCUUAUCUGGCAGUGGGGACUGCACAAUAUCUCCCAAAAUGAGGAGCAGGGAAGGCCUUAGGGUAGCCUAGUAGCUGCAUGUAGAGUCAGGAGACCUGUGUUUGGGCCCCCUUUCCUUACUGUCCUUUGGUCCAUGGUAUCCACUUAAUCCUUCAAAUCCCUUGUCACUUCAUCUGUAGAUCAAGAAUAAUCAUGGACUUUAGCAGGAUCAUUAAAGUACUAUGUGAAAGGAAACACUCCGAAAACCAUUCAAUUUGACCUAAAUAUUAUUUUAAAAUCUGGAAAAGGUCUGACUGCCGGGGAAAAGGAGACAUUAUGGAUCCAGCCUGAUCCUGGGCUUAAGAAUGUCAUUUCUUGGCCAGAGGGUGUGAUUCUUUGCCCUCUGAUUGGUAGGGUGGGGAGCUAUAAGUCAAAAUGAAACACAAAGCUGUCUAGGGAGAGUAGCAGACAGUGUUCCUAUUAUCUUUCCCACUCCAGUCCCAACCUCUGACCUUUAGUUCUCCAUGCCAACACUCCCAAACUUACCCUCCACCCCUCUCCCCAGUCAGCACCUUCACUGCUGUGGUGCUAGCUCACACACUGUACAAUUUCACCCUCCAUACCCCCCUUCUCAGCACGUCCUCCAACCCGAGCCUUCUGUGGGAGACAGAUGGGGUGUCUGCGAUGGAAAAGGCUCUGGGCUCUACGCCGCCUUGGGUGGGCAUCCCCCCUCCCCAUCUCUCUGCUACUCCCUCUCCCUACCUAAGGUACUCAGAGUCACCCUGGGCAGCUUUGGAAGCUACUGAUGAUUUCCAGAUCUCUUCCCUUCUCAGACUCAGCCCCAGCAGCAGAGCCAGAAUGGCAUCUUUCUCUGAGACCUAGACCCCAGGCCCCGUUCUUGGAAAACCAGUGCAAAGGAGGAAGUAGGUUAAGAAAUGGUAGGGUGCCAUGUGAAGGGACUAAUGUGGAUAGGGAGGGGCCCAGAGUUCCUCACUGAGGACUGGAUGGCAGGGGUUUGGGUUCUGAGUUGACAGUGGAGGCUGAGCCUAAGCAGCUCCUUUGUUCCAGAAAUCUGGGGUCCCUGGAGGGAGGCUCAGCUUGGGGAGGGGGAAAGCAUUACAAAGCACCAACUGCGAACCAGGCACGAUGCCAGAGCCUUUCCAUACCUGUAUUCACAACUAGCAGGUGAGGAGUCAGGGUGAAUAGGUGUCUUAAGAGCUCUCAGCAUCUCUCAGUACAGUUGACCACCACCUCCUUUGAUUCUAUGAUGUCACUGCCAAUUCUCCUACUAUGCUGGUUGCUCUUUCUCUGUCUCCUUUGCAAACUCAUCCUCAACUCCUUAGACUCAGCCAAGUCCCCUGAUUAUACACAUUCAUGGUACUAUACAUCCUCCUUUCAGAGCACUUAGCACAGUUAUUUCACACUUAUUCAUACAAUCAUUUGAAUAAUUAUCCUAUUUCCCCCACCAGAUGGAAAGUUCCACAAGGAUGGUGACCGAGUUUGUCUGUAUUCACCAGUGUGCUCCCAGUGCCCAGUACUGUGCCUAACCUAAAGCAGCUCUUUGGGAAAGCCUCUUUCAGCAGCUCUCCUCCCAACCUCCCUGAAGUCCAGCCCACUCCCCAGAAGCAGUGUAGGCUCUGCUGGGACUGAACACGUGGCCCAGAAAAUGUUCCUUCAAAUUCACAAUGCUGGUAGAGAAGAGCACUGAAUGAAGAGCCAGAGGCCCAUAUCCUCCGCUGCUCUGCCUCACCCUGUGGCCCAGAUCUCAGAAUACAUAGGAAAAAGCAGGAAGAGAGAAGAGGUCACUUGAAGGUUGGAAGUAGGGGCUCCAGUCUCAGGCAGAAGACUGGGGGGCUUGGUUCUCUCCUUUGAUUCAAAUGAAUCUUUUCCCUGCUCCCACCUCUCACCCCCAGAGACAGCCAGAGCUUUGCUUAGUUAAUGAAAUACAAAAGAAGGAACAGGGCGGGGGUGGGGGUGUGGAGGGAGGCUCCAGAGCACUCAGAGGAAGGGAGAGGAAAAGUUGGGUCUCUUCCAAAGAGUUAAUGUUCCACAGUAUGAUCGAUUAGGUGUCAGAUGUAAUUUCAAACCAAUACAAGAUGAAUGGCAUAAUUUUCCCUCUCUCAUUUUAGACAGAAUUAAGAAUCCAUUAGCUAACACAAAUUUUUGGCAAGUUUAAUAGGAGCUCAAAACUACAUUCAGAGGAAACACUCCCCAAAGCCUAUUUCAAGCUUUUACUCCUCAGGCCCAUGGCCUCCACGGUCCUCCUGACCCUCACAAGCCCUCUGUUGUCUGUCCUCCCCCAGGUAGCCCCCUCACCCUUCCCCUGGUCCCUGUAUGUGCCCCUCCUCAGCCCAGCCAGAGAUUAACUGGCUUGACCCCUCUCACAAAGGCCUGGCCUGCCCACCAUUGUCUUCCAGUGGCACUGGUUCUGGGGGAAGGGGCGGAGGGGCUGGCAGUGAGCCCAGGAAGAGGGGAGCCUGCUGAAUUGGCCCCAGGCUCCAGACAAACCCAAGGGAGACGGGUGAAUUGGGACUUUGGAGCCAUUUGAAUCUCAACUACUACUCAAUUUCACCCCCAGAAAAGUUCUGGUUUUUAUCCUAGAGAAAGCGUUACCCAGUUCAUAAGGGGUCAAAUCCCAUUCUUACUUUUACAUUUACAUAUAUUAAUCCAUACAGUAAACUAGAGAGAUGGGAAGAAUAGCUAUCAUCCCAUUUUUUAGAUGAGGAAACUGAGGCUCAGGGGGGUUGAUUAGAAUCAGCUGGGUCCAAGGGUAGACCAUGGCUCUGCUACUUGUUAACUUACUAGGCAUAAGGCAUUACCUCUGGACCUCAAUUUCCUUAUCUGUAAAAUGGGGAAAAUGUUAGUAUCAAGCUCAUAAGAUUAUUCUAAGGGACAAAUGAGAAGUGCCUGAUAAAGGAGAGUCCAUUCAGGCAGAGGUACCAAGCAGCCACUCUGUGGCCUUGUAAAUCAGCUCCAGCCCCUACCCUCUGAGCUCACAGCCUGGUUGGAAUUGACAAACAUGUAGACGGAGCCCUGCCCUGAAAGGCAAGAGAGGCUGGAAUAAUAAUUAUAGCAGCUUACCUUACUGGGCACUUGCUCUCUGCCCAGUGUGGGAGCAAAUUCUUUCAUACAGUAGCUCAUUUACUCCUCCUCCCUUAUCAGAUAUAUACUAUUAUUAUAGUAUUAUCCCACUUUCCAGAUCAGGAAACAAGCACAGACAGGGGAAGUAACUUGUCUGAGGUCACCCAGCUAGAAAGUGGCAGAGCUAGAAUUCCAACCCAGGCAACCGUGGUCCUAAGGUUAAACUCUUAGGUUCAUUAGCUCUCAGCCCAAUGAUAAGCAGAGGUACAAGCUGGGACAGUGGAGCUCCAGGAUGUGACUGACUCUGUUCAGGGGUCUGGGAAGGCUUCACAGAGAAGAGGUUUACAUUAGGUCUUAACUGAUGAGUAGAAGUUUACCAGAUGGGUAAGGAGAGAAAGAGCAUCCUAGGCAGGAGAAUAGUACAAAGUCACCAAAAGAAGUCUUAGCAUGGGAGACGGUGAGUACUACCCCAUGCUCUGCGACCAAAACAGGGUUCAUGUGGAGGAUGGCAGGAAACAAGUUUGGAUGAGGAGGCCAAGGGUUCAGCCCAACAACUGUGCUCUAAAAAUUGGGAAGGCUGUCCUGUUGUCUAACUCCUAUAGACAGCCUUGCAAUGCCAUGCUCAGAAAUUAAGAUUUUUUCAUGUUGUCAUAAUAAUAGGUAGAGCUAGCAUCUUACAUGUGCUAAAUGCUUCAUAUUGAUUGCCUUGUUUCUUCAUUGCAAUAACCACACAAAGCAGGUACUAUUGUCCUAUUUUUCAGAUAAAUAAACUGAGGCUCAGGGAUAUUAAGUACCUUGCCUAAGAGACACAACUAGAAAGUAACAGAGAUGAGCAUCCAACCCAGGUCUGACUCCAGAGCCCAAAUUCUUUCUAUGCUUGCUAUAUCCUAGUAGGCACUGUGGAACUUUGGAAGAAUUUUAUGCAGGCAGUGAUGGGCUUGGACUGAGUUUAAGGAAAAGAAUUUUGGCAGAGUGUGGAGGUCGGACUGGAGCAGAGUAAGCCUGGAGGCAGGGAAGCCGGUAAAGAAACCACUGCUGUGGUCCAGAUGAAAGUUCCAUAUGGAGACCGAUGGGGGAAAGGCCCUCACUCAUAUAUAGGGAUGAAAGAUAGGGACUCCUAGAGCCUGAGUAAUAAUAAUUAUGAAGAUAUUAUCAAGUGCCUACCCCAUACUUCAUCGCAUGAGCCAUUUCCAAUUCAUACAAUGCUAUGGGGCAGAUAUUGUUAGCCCCUUUUACAGAAGAGAAAGCUGAGGCUUAGAGAGGUUGAUUAACUUCUCUGAAACACACAACUGGGGUCUGCAGAGCUGUAACUUGCCAGAAGCCCUAGCGUUCCCUCCCACCUCAUUUCCAGAGAUGGCUGGCCACCUAUCAGAGGUCAGAGGUCUUCCCUCUUGACAUGGCUUAAUAUUCCCUGCGAUACAUAGGGUCCUGGCCCCUAUGGAGAAUGUCAGUGAAAGUAUGUCAAAUAAGAGAUCAAGCCUGCCCCAGAUGCUCCUGCCUUUGCCUCCCUUAGGGCUGGGUGAGUGACCUUGAGAUGAGAGAAGUGAAAAAGGGGAUGAGGUGGAGGGAGGGGAAGAGAGUGGAGAGGGUUAAGCUCUGGAGCUGUGAGGGGAGAACCAGUGAAACUUGAAUUUUCAUCCUGAUUAGCCACUGUUGUUUAUCUGCAAAAUGGGAUAAUAAUAUCUACUCCCCAAGAUGAUUGUAAAGAUUAAAUAAAAUAAUGUGUAUAAACCUGCACUGUCCAGUUGGAAGCCUCUAGCCACAUAUUGCUAUUUCAAUUUAAAUUAAUGAACAUUAAAUAAAGUUUAAAAAUUCAUUUAUUCAGCCACACUUAGCCAUAUUUCAAAUGCUUAAUAACCGCAUAUUGGCUAGUGACUACCAUAUUGAACAGAACAGAAAUAGAACAUUUCCAUCAUGGCAGAACGUUGUCUAAAGCACUGGACCCAGGGCCUGGCCCAUGUUGUGUGCACAGUCAGUGGAUGCCAUUCUUGGAGGACUCAGGUGGUGAGACUGAUUAUUCUUCCAACAGCCUGCCAAAGACCAUCCAUCUGACAUUCUCCAGGGUUGAAUCUGAAAACUAAGAGUUGGGAAGAGUCAGGGCCAGGUCAGGCACAAGGAUAGAAGGAAGAGAGACAAGUCUACAGGCUAAGAAGUUCGUUUAAGGAUUGCCCAGGAGGUGGAGGUGAGUGGAAUGUGUAUCUGGGGCAGGAAAGAAAAGAAAACCAAGAGAAAAAGGGGAGAAGAGAGGGAAAUCCAGGCACCUAUGAGCUGGAACCCACAAUGGGUCUUCAUUGCCUGCCCCAAGAGAAUGGAUGCUAAUUUUAAGAUACUUGCUCUCAAUACCUUUAUUUCCAAGUUCAUUCAUUCAUUUAUUCAUGCAACAUUUGUUUAUUGAGCAACUAUGUACCUGGUCCUGCCUAGGUGCUGGGAGUGCUACUAUGAAGUCCCCACCCACAGGGAGCUUCUGUAUGCAUGUAGGGUGAGGAAACAAGACAAUGAACAUAAUAAAUGUUUAAUAUACAUAGUAUAUUAGAUGAUGAUAUGUACUAAAGAGAAAAAUUCAGUAAGGAGAGGGAAAGGAGGUACAGUUUUGGAUGGGGUAGCCAGGAAACACUUCUUAGAGAAAGUGAUGUUUUAUUUUGGUUGCCCAGAGGCUGAGGGGUUUGGGGGAAAAUGAGUGAAUGCUAAUGGGCUUGGGGUGGUCAAAAUGUUAUUUUGGGGGUGGUGAAAAUGUUAAAAAUGGAUUGUCGUGAUGGUCACACAACUCUUACGAAUAUACUAAGAAACAUUGAAUUGUAUACUUUAAAUAAAUGAAUUAUAACUUAA